This 322-nucleotide ribosomal RNA is filed under the name uncultured eukaryote. RNAcentral's name for it is "partial 18S ribosomal RNA". It matches the Rfam family "Eukaryotic small subunit ribosomal RNA", at positions 1470 to 1796 of the family's 1831-position model. The record is from RNAcentral.
CCCUUAGAUGUUCUGGGCCGCACGCGUGCUACACUGAGUGGAUCAGCGGGUCAGGUUGCGCGAAAGCGUUUCCUAAUCUUUAAAUCCGCUCGUGAUGGGGAUUGACGGUUGCAAUUUUCUGUCAUGAACGAGGAAUACCUUGUAAGCGCGGGUCAUCAUCCCGCGCUGAAUACGUCCCUGCCCUUUGUACACACCGCCCGUCGCUCCUACCGAUUGAGUGGUCCGGUGAGGCUUUGGGAUCUGAGCGGUAAGAGCGUUUCGCUGUUUCUGCUCGGAAAACUCAGUCGAACCUUAUCAUUUAGAGGAAGGAGAAGUCGUAACA